Molecule: transfer RNA, 67 nt
Filed under: Pedetes capensis (springhare)
Lineage: Eukaryota; Metazoa; Chordata; Mammalia; Rodentia; Pedetidae
Description: tRNA-Val
Rfam family: tRNA
About the family: Transfer RNA (tRNA) molecules are approximately 80 nucleotides in length. Their secondary structure includes four short double-helical elements and three loops (D, anti-codon, and T loops).
Source: RNAcentral
CAAAGUGUAGCUUAAAUUAAAGCACUUGGUCUACACCCAAGAGAUUUCAUACUAAGGAACACUUUGA